Molecule: long non-coding RNA, 1223 nt
Filed under: Numida meleagris (helmeted guineafowl)
Lineage: Eukaryota; Metazoa; Chordata; Aves; Galliformes; Numididae
Description: lncRNA (ENSNMEG00000000787.1)
Source: RNAcentral
GCUCUUGUCAUUAUGCCUAAGCUCAUUUUGUGCUACUGGUCACGCAGAAGCUGUGAAGAAAAAGAAGUUCAAGUGACUGGUCCAAAAUCACACAGCCGCAUUGAUGCUCAACUGGCAACAGGGACUUGCUUCCUCCAGUGCACCACACCAUCGCUUUACAUCACACAGCUUGCAACGAUAGAAGACGAAGCAACAAUGCUUUUUAUUGACCCCCAGCGUCACUUGCUUGUUCAGCAGUCUAAAGGUCUCAAAGAGACAACAUCUGUGUUGAAGAAAUAGAAGCAACCACCAUGUCUGCUAGAGCCAAGCCCUGCCAAGGCCGCUCACAGUAAUUGGGCUUUCUUUGAACGCAGCAUCUGCUCACAUACAUCCUCUUCUAAGAUCACAUUGUAAAGGCCGGGAUGGAAAAGGAGGAUGAAAGAAGAGAUGACAGAUAUAUGGACAGUCAGAGUUUUAAUACCAGUUUACGAUGGUUUCAGCCCAAGCCAAAUUCCCUCCUUUUAUUGUUAAACCUGGUAGUUCUGCUCUGAUUCUUGUUAUUGCUCCUGGCUGGAAGAUCUUGGGGGUUUGGCACCUCACUGUUCACCUCUUAAGAUUUUGAUUUCUUCAAAGAGAAAAGUUCCAGAAAAAAGCUGAAUGAAAUGGUUCAAGGUAGGAGCAGCCCCUUCCCACCUCAUGCCUUUACACUGCUAACACUGAUAAGAAACUCCUGGGAAAUGCCUUUCUGAUGUUGUUUCAAAGGAAACUGUUUCCUCAAUGGAAAGUUCACUCAAUGAGAAAAUCCCGUCUGCAAUUUUUGAGUAACAGUGGGUUUUGUAUUAGCGUGAUCUGUCCAUAGUCAGUGCUACGAGUAGACAUUUUUCUUACUCUUACUUUUUGUUAUCUCAUCAAGAAAAGACUUUGGAAGAACAGGCGAAGACAUUUAUCAGUAGAAAUCCAAUUGCUUUUCUCUGUUCUCUCCUGUGUUAUUGGACUAAUGCACUAAUGUAAAAGUGUUUUGAGAAUUUCCACUCCCUGAGAGUAUUGUGAUACUUCCAUACUUAUCCAUCUUAAUUUUGCAGAACACCAAUCAAAAUGUAGGAAUUCUUAUUAUUAUCAUUUGUGUGUAUAUGUGCUUAUAUAUGUUUGUUAGUAGGUUUUUUGCUUUUUUUUUUUUUUUUUCAACUGAGUACUCCAUUUCACUUAAAUGGAACAAUAAAUGAAGCAGUUCCCUGUGGAAGACA